This 302-nucleotide long non-coding RNA is filed under the name Zonotrichia albicollis (white-throated sparrow). RNAcentral describes it as "lncRNA (ENSZALG00000006967.1)". Lineage: Eukaryota; Metazoa; Chordata; Aves; Passeriformes; Passerellidae. The record is from RNAcentral.
CUUCACCCCUCAUCUCAGGCAGCAUCGCGAAGGCAGCUGCAGAAGUGUUUAGAGAAAACAGACGGGCCAAGAAAUGAAAGGUGCCGGGAUCACUGUCACUGAAUCCAGGUGUCUGGGAAGUGGAAGUAGAAGCUCUCUUUGCUCAUUUUAUUUUGUAGAAAAACAAAAUUUUAAUGUUUCUGUCAAAUUACUUUCAUUUACUCUAAAUAGCAAUGUGUCACAUCAACCCUGGGGGGAAAAUUCUGCUGUUAUGAAACAAUGUAACUGUACAUAAUGCAUGUCAAAUAAAUAUCUAAUGGUUC